UGGGAAUGGUGGGAAUGUGGGAAUGGUGGGAUUGGGAAUGGUGGGAAUGGGAAUGGUGGGAAUGUGGCAAUGUGGGAAUGGGAUUGGGAAUGGUGGGAAUAAUGGGAUUGGGAAUGAUGGGAUUGGGAAAAAUGGGAUUGGGAAUGGUGGGAUUGGGAUUGGGAAUGGUGAGAUUGGGAUUGGGAACAAUGGGAUUGGGAACAAUGGGAUUGGGAACAAUGGGAUUGGGAUUGGGACUGGGGUGGGAUUCAGGGUGCUGGGAUGUUGGGGGUUUAUGGGAUGGGAAGGAUGUGGAAAACGGGACGCCGGGAUUUGGGAUCAGCGGGGGAGAGCGGAAGGGAAGGAUCUGGAGCUGGGACGGGAAAGAUUUGGGGUUACCGGGAUCAGGAAAGGAUUUGGGAUCACCAGAAAUGGGAUGUGGAAAAAACAUGGAUCUGGGAU
RNAcentral lists this long non-coding RNA (441 nucleotides) under Zonotrichia albicollis (white-throated sparrow). RNAcentral describes it as "lncRNA (ENSZALG00000007164.1)". The record is from RNAcentral. Lineage: Eukaryota; Metazoa; Chordata; Aves; Passeriformes; Passerellidae.